Molecule: long non-coding RNA, 887 nt
Organism: Anolis carolinensis (green anole)
Lineage: Eukaryota; Metazoa; Chordata; Lepidosauria; Squamata; Anolidae
Exons: 2
Source: RefSeq, a predicted model, not a curated record
GGAGAGAAUGGAGGAAGAGCUGGUUAGCUCGGAAGAGGAUGAGAUGGAUUGGACUCGGGUAAGGGAGGAGUUGGGUGCCACUGGCAAUAAUGGGAUGGAAGAUGAAUGGGGACCUUCAGGAUUAGACCCAUGGACAAGCUGGAGGGAUGGGACGGGAUCCACAGCUGGGGAUGCUGUGGGGCGUAGUCAGAGGUGUUCCAGCUCUGAUGAGGAAAGUGAUGAGGAAACGCCCGGGUUAAGGAGGGCAGCUGAUAGUGAUGAGGAUUUGUAACUGGCAUAAAAUGAGGCUUGGGAGCAAUUGCAAAUUGCGUUGGGCAAGGUAAUCUGGACGAACGCUUGGGAUCUGUGUGGGACGCUUUCCUGAAGACUGGUGUGUUUUCGUGUGCUGAUACCUUUGACCUUCCGUCGUCUUCUUGACGGACGCCAUCUGCUACUCUGGAUUUACGGACUGAAAACUGACUACGGGCUCGCUUUCUCCUAUUGGACUUGGAAAACUGCAAACGUCUGAUUCUGCCUCUCGACCUUCGGAACGAAUUGGGACUACGCUACUGCUUCAAUCCUUGGCUGUUGAGUUUGUAUUGGAAAUUUGCCUUGCUGUGUGAAGGAGUGACUCCUAGUUACUCAAAACAUAGUGCUGGCAGCAGAGAGUUAUCUGCUGCCAAUUAGUUGCAUUCUUUUGAACUCUUUGUUUCCCAGCUUCUGUUUGUUUUUCCCCAGGCUGAAGCAAGCUGUUUUGAUUUUACCCGGAUUAAACUCCGGUUUAAUCCGGUUUAUCUUUUGAACGUUUUUUUCUUGCCCCUUUUUGUUUUUAAAGGCUAAGUUGCCUUGCCCUUGUCUUUUACGGGCAUUUUGAGUUCUGUAAAUCCAAUAAACUCUGUUAUCUUUGA